Molecule: ribosomal RNA, 425 nt
Filed under: uncultured bacterium
Lineage: Bacteria
Description: bacterial SSU rRNA
Rfam family: Bacterial small subunit ribosomal RNA
Source: RNAcentral
GAUGAACGCUGGCGGCGUGCCUAACACAUGCAAGUCGAACGAACCUUGGGGAACAGAUUACUUCGGUUUGAAGUUCCCCGCUGGUUAGUGGCGGACGGGUGAGUAACGCGUGGGCAACCUGCCUCAUAGAGGGGAAUAGCCUUCCGAAAGGGAGAUUAAUACCGCAUAAGAUUGUAGUACCGCAUGGUACAGCAAUUAAAGGAGCAAUCCGCUAUGAGAUGGGCCCGCGGCGCAUUAGCUAGUUGGUGAGGUAACGGCUCACCAAGGCGACGAUGCGUAGCCGACCUGAGAGGGUGAUCGGCCACAUUGGGACUGAGACAGGCCCAGACUCCUACGGGAGGCAGCAGUGGGAAUCUCACAAUGGGUGAAAACCUGAUGAGCAAUGCCGCGUGAAAUGAAGAAGGUCUUCGGAUCGUAAAAGUUCU